RNAcentral lists this ribosomal RNA (430 nucleotides) under uncultured bacterium. Its description in RNAcentral is "bacterial SSU rRNA". It matches the Rfam family "Bacterial small subunit ribosomal RNA", at positions 89 to 518 of the family's 1533-position model. The record is from RNAcentral.
UGGCGACCGGCGCACGGGUGAGUAACGCGUAUGCAACCUACCUAUCAGAGGGGAAUAACCCGGCGAAAGUCGGACUAAUACCGCAUAAACAGGGGCACCGCAUGGUGAUAUUUGUUAAAGAAAUUCGCUGAUAGAUGGGCAUGCGUUCCAUUAGGUAGUUGGUGAGGUAACGGCUCACCAAGCCGACGAUGGAUAGGGAACUGAGAGGUUGGUCCCCCACACUGGUACUGAGACACGGACCAGACUCCUACGGGAGGCAGCAGUGAGGAAUAUUGGUCAAUGGGCGAGAGCCUGAACCAGCCAAGUCGCCGUGAAGGAAGAAGGAUCUAUGGUUCGUAAACUUCUUUUGCAGGGGAAUAAAGUGCGGGACGUGUCCUGUUUUGUAUGUACCCUGAGAAUAAGGAUCGGCUAACUCCGUGCCAGCCGCCGC